Long non-coding RNA from Micropterus dolomieu (smallmouth bass), 511 nucleotides. RefSeq lists it as uncharacterized. The record is from RefSeq and is a predicted model, not a curated record. The transcript is spliced from 3 exons. NCBI's taxonomy places the organism in Eukaryota, Metazoa, Chordata, Actinopteri, Centrarchiformes, Centrarchidae.
CAAUGUCUUACUCUUUCUCGCACAGCAUCCCUUGCUAGCAAAUAUUGACAGACUUCUUUUAUCUACUUCUCACAAGCCUGUGUUGGAGCAUUAUCUUGUCUGAUAGAUGGCAGUGUAUCAUGGCUGAGAUAUGACACCUUUUGAGUGUUUCUGUCUCCAUUACACAAGGGCUGUUUUUAUCUAGGAAGACCUUGUGAAUCAACAUUUGGACCAAUGGUGGAUACUAAAACUCUACAUGACAGGCAUUAUAGGCAUUCACAUGAGACAGCUAUAAUGUUAGUGAUUAACGCCAUAAAAGAUAUGUGUCGAUCACACUGUAUCAUAUCAACAUAACUAACAGUACAUUGUCCUUUCUCUGGCUUUCUCCAGUUGUUGUUUGCUCUUUUGUGAAAAUGCUUCACCACAAUGGUGUUGCAUUCCACAGCGACACCCGAUGAUUUCUCUAAAUGUAGACAUAUUAUUUAGGGUUUUAUAUGCCGGGGCCCUGGCUAUAGUUAGUGGGUGUGCACAC